This 926-nucleotide ribosomal RNA is filed under the name uncultured Bacilli bacterium. Its description in RNAcentral is "SSU rRNA". It matches the Rfam family "Bacterial small subunit ribosomal RNA", at positions 8 to 916 of the family's 1533-position model. The record is from RNAcentral. Lineage: Bacteria; Bacillati; Bacillota; Bacilli.
AGAGUUUGAUCCUGGCUCAGAGCGAACGUUAGCGGCGUGCCUAAUACAUGCAAGUCGAGCGAAUCAAUAGGAGCUUGCUCCUGUUGGUUAGCGGCGGACGGGUGAGUAACACGUGGGCAACCUGCCUGUAAGACUGGGAUAACACCGGGAAACCGGUGCUAAUACCGGAUAAUCCUUUUCCUUUCAUGAGGAAAAGCUGAAAGUUGGUUUCGGCUGACACUUACAGAUGGGCCCGCGGCGCAUUAGCUAGUUGGUGAGGUAAUGGCUCACCAAGGCAACGAUGCGUAGCCGACCUGAGAGGGUGAUCGGCCACACUGGGACUGAGACACGGCCCAGACUCCUACGGGAGGCAGCAGUAGGGAAUCUUCCACAAUGGACGAAAGUCUGAUGGAGCAACGCCGCGUGAGCGAUGAAGGCCUUCGGGUCGUAAAGCUCUGUUGUUAGGGAAGAACAAGUACCGGAGUAACUGCCGGUACCUUGACGGUACCUAACCAGAAAGCCACGGCUAACUACGUGCCAGCAGCCGCGGUAAUACGUAGGUGGCAAGCGUUGUCCGGAAUUAUUGGGCGUAAAGCGCGCGCAGGCGGUCCUUUAAGUCUGAUGUGAAAGUCAAAGGCUCAACCUUUGAAUGUCAGCGGAUACUGCCGGGCUAGAGUCCGGAAGAGGCGAGUGGAACUCCUGGUGUAGCGGUGGAAUGCGCAGAUAUCAGGAAGAACACCAACGGCGAAGGCAGCUCGCUGGGACGGAACUGACGCUAAGGCGCGAAAGCGUGGGGAGCGAACAGGAUUAGAUACCCUGGUAGUCCACGCCGUAAACGAUGGGCACUAGGUGUGGGAGGUGUCGACUCCUCCCGUGCCGGCGCUAACGCAUUAAGUGCCCCGCCUGGGGAGUACGGCCGCAAGGCUAAAACUCAAAGGAAUUGACGG